RNAcentral lists this long non-coding RNA (1335 nucleotides) under Heterocephalus glaber (naked mole-rat). RNAcentral's name for it is "lncRNA (ENSHGLG00000037456.1)". The record is from RNAcentral. Lineage: Eukaryota; Metazoa; Chordata; Mammalia; Rodentia; Bathyergidae.
CUCCCAUACUGAGAGGCCAAGUGUGCAAGAGUCUCUAGGGAUACCUCAUUUCUGAGUGCCUCCCCUACAGCCACCUCCUAUGUGGCCAUGUUCCUGAAGCGCUGGCUUGAGGAGCUCCUCUCAGAGCUGACCCUGACUCGUGAAGGCUCUGGAGCUUGAGCAACAGCUGCUACCACCCCUCCAAGGCCCUCCACCCUGGCUGCCUUGCUCGGUCAGGAAGAGGCCUGAUCUGUGGCUGCUGGGGACGAACUGAGGACUGGUUCUUUUGUGGGAAAGAAUAUGAGACCAGAAUGAGGAAGUCCCAAUGCAUUGUGGAGUGAUGUGGCUCCCUGGAAACAAAAGUCUGAGGGCCCUGAUGUCAGAAGAGCAGGUUGGCACAGCUCUUGCUUGGUGGAGGCUGUCAGUCGCCAGGAGAGAGCGCUUCCUCACUACUACAAGGUGGCAGAGAAAGCCACAAAAGGCUGGGGCCAAAAUUCUGCAUCAGUUCCUCAUCGACAGAUAAGAUCAAGAUUGGCACCCAUGAGUUCUGGCUGAAGGCACCAAUUUUGUUCCUUGUUAUUGAAUUAUCAAAGCUAUCUUAUCCAUGUUACUUAUUAUUUUCACAGGUUCUCGGUUUCUUUCUUUUUUAAACCCUGUUCUUAUCUUUCAAGCUUUUAAAUUUAUCUUGCUCCUCUUUUUGAGUUAUAAGCUAUAAACUCUCCCUCCUUUAUAAUAUUAAACAUUCGGGCCAGGGAUUUAGCUCAGUGGCACCGUGCCUGCCUCGCAAAUGCAAGGUCCUGAGUUCAAUCCCCAGUACCAAAAAAAGAAGAAAAAAAAAUUGUGCUGCUAUAAUAUUCAGCAUUCCCUUAACUUAAGCCAGUACAUCAUGGUGUGUAAUUUUACAUCAAGAUUCACAGGGAAUAAUCAAAAUUGUUUUCCCCAUUCGAGAAAACUUAAGGAUUCAUCAGUUUUCGAUUUUCUCAUGAGGAGAUAAGAUUCUUUAUGAUUAGGUGAAGAAUGUAUCUGUAGAUGCAGUAUAUUAAGAUCUUUGCCUGAACUGUCCUUUUGACUUAUGGAUCAAAAUUCAGACUUUUCCUCCUGUGUAUUAUUAUGAUGCUUAUUUCAAUUACAGGUUUAAUUUAAUAACUGAAUGUAGAACUCUAUAUUUUCAGAACUCUUUGGAAAAUAAAAUUUCCAAUUACCUUAAUUUUCUAAACAGUUCAAAGUUCCUAAAGCCAAAUAAGAAUAUCAUAAAAUACAACCAGUUUAAGGUCGGUGAUUUAGCUCAGUGGUUCAGGCACCUGCCUCGAAAGCACAAGGUCCUGAGUUGGAUGCCCAGUACCAAAAAAAAAAAAA